AAUUUCAGAGAAAAGGAAGAGAUACCAGUGGAACUCCUAAGUGACCAGGAACAGACGAUUUUUAACCGAGUUCUGCUGCGUGGAGCCCAGGUUGGCGCUAGUGAGUGCAGUGUGCUGACCCAAGUGGUGGUGGCCCAAGGACGCGCUGACCCGUACAUUUGGCAAAGCUUUCAUUAAAUGUAUCAGAUUCUCGCGGAAGUGGUUGCAGUCCGGAGAGUGAAACAGCUAUCUCUCAAGUCCUGACCGGUUCAGCUGAAAUCUACAUUUGCACUGAAUCUGGCAAAACACGGACGGGUCCGCCCGAGAUCUCAGGAAACCCAGAGCAAGUUACCUCCAUGUAGUUGAUCAUUCUUUCUGAAAGGACGGACACCAUUUACCCCACUGCAAUCCUGUCCAACGGGCAGCUCUGAGUUUAGCUUUAGCGCCAAAGGAUUGAUUUCCCCCACCCGCUGGAGAUUUACUGGGGACGAGCGGGGGAGGGGAGGCGAAGGUACCUCGGAGGAGGUCAAGUGGGGGAGGAGGAGGAGCAGCAGAAAAUUACCAGCCAAGCAGGGGAGGGAGUUGGAAGCCCGGAAAUAUACCAGGAUGCCUCAAGUAACCUUCCUUUAAGUCUCAGAAUUCAGCCCUCGGAAAACAGCCUCAUAAGGUGUCCUGGGAAGGAGUCCUCGGGUGGGCUGCGGAGGUGAUGUCAAGAGUUACAGCUACUUUAUGAAUUAAACUGACGGCUAAGGCAUGUCGGGACAGUUUAGUGUAAGCUGAAUGGUGCGUGGACGGGGCAACUUUUAAAGAGAGGUGGGCAAUCAUUGGUGGCAUCUACCAGUAUAUUCUGCAUGUAACAGUAGUUUGGAAGCUGAAGAAAAACCCCUCAAAUCCCAGUAAAUGCCCGGUCAGUUCGAGAGAGAUUUUAGGGACAAUUUUGAAGGUCGCUGUCUGCUCCAACUCCGCAGAGAUGAACAAGAGUGUGAACUCUGGCGCGGGUGUGUUUAGAAUUAUCUACGACUUCAGAUCCAUGCUGUUGAAACUCAUCAAUUCUUUGUGACUUCACGUGGAGAGAAGAAUUUGCCCUGCCUCCCUACCUGCUAAAUGCCGACUGAGAAAAGGGGCCCAGGAGACGACCCCUUUCAGAAAGAACGUCACUUCAUCAACUCGGCUGAGUUAUUAACUUGCUCCCCGAAAGGUCAACAACGCCUUCUCUUCUCAGCCGCACCGCGCGGAGAUCAAUCGCUUUACCCUAGGUAGCCUCUUGUUCAGGGCUCAGGAACUCCUGUCUUAAGGUCCUUCUGGGGCUCAGAAGCUGUGUUGUGUAUGUUCUUUCCAAGAAUCCCACCUGUCUGCUUUCAAGCACACACGGCGCUAGAAAUUUAGCCUAGCCUGAGUCCUGGGAUGAGAGAAGAGCUAAACAAAGAGACCCCAACCGUCCCCUUGGCCCCCUGCCCCGCCGUUUUGCAGUUUGCCAACCUUCUAGCUAGACAGCCCCCUAAGUCUCCGUGUUGCGAGUGAAAGAGAAUUUUUCUAUUUCAUCUUCCCAUUGACCGAAGCAGAAAAAUUGAACCGAAUCUACGCCCCUUGUUCUGAUUCCUGCUAGAGGAAAACAGAAAAUCAUCCCGCAGGUCUCUUUCAGUCCCUGGAUGGCGAGCGCAGCCCCUGGGAGGCCACACUUAGUUCUUUAUUGUGAAUCUCUCGCUACUCAAGUUCGUUCGGGACCAGGGCCUCGGAUGGCCUCGGUUGCCCGUAAGUACGCGAAAGAAGAGGUGAAUCCAAUCGCUGGCCUAGAGGAUAGUGAUCAGACAACCCGAGGAUUACUAAACAAGGGGCGGCGGUGUCCCUGUCUCAUGGGGUUGGCGUGGGGCGGGGGGUAGGCAGCAAGAUCCUCCAGGCUCCUGGAUGCAAAGAGUGAGAAAGAAAGCGCAGCCUCUGGCAGCCUGCUUAUAAAUGCAGCCUUUCGGAAGAUGAAACUUGCAGUCUUAGGUUGUCCUCCUUUAUAUCCAUGUUCCAAUCCUCUGGGCUUUCCUCGAAAUGAAUAAAAUUGUGGAAAUGA
This 2038-nucleotide long non-coding RNA is filed under the name Homo sapiens (human). RNAcentral describes it as "HSALNT0326487". The record is from RNAcentral. Lineage: Eukaryota; Metazoa; Chordata; Mammalia; Primates; Hominidae.